Molecule: ribosomal RNA, 468 nt
Filed under: uncultured bacterium
Lineage: Bacteria
Description: partial 16S ribosomal RNA
Rfam family: Bacterial small subunit ribosomal RNA
Source: RNAcentral
GACGAACGCUGGCGGCGUGCUUAACACAUGCAAGUCGAACGGAAAGGCCCUGCUUUUGUGGGGUGCUCGAGUGGCGAACGGGUGAGUAACACGUGAGUAACCUGCCCUUGACUUUGGGAUAACUUCAGGAAACUGGGGCUAAUACCGGAUAGGAGCUCCUGCUGCAUGGUGGGGGUUGGAAAGUUUCGGCGGUUGGGGAUGGACUCGCGGCUUAUCAGCUUGUUGGUGGGGUAGUGGCUUACCAAGGCUUUGACGGGUAGCCGGCCUGAGAGGGUGACCGGCCACCAUGGGACUGGGAUACGGCCCCGACUCCUACGGGAGGCAGCAGUGGGGAAUAUUGGACAAUGGGCGGAAGCCUGAUGCAGCAACGCCGCGUGCGGGAUGACGGCCUUCGGGUUGUAAACCGCUUUCGCCUGUGACGAAGCGUGAGUGACGGUAAUGGAUAAAGAAGCACCGGCUAACUACGUG